GGGAAAAGGAAGUGGAUUUGAGCAGCAGCUUCCGACCGCGAAUGUUCUAAAAAAAUGUUUUGAUGUGGCUUAAGUGUGUUGUUGGAAUAACUAGAACUUAUAAAGAGUGUCAUGAUAUAGAAAAAAAUUGGCCCCCAAAGUACUGGAACCCUACAACAACCUCACAACAGAGCCCACUAGCCUGACUCAAUAUAUAGUUAUUAUUUGUUACAUCUUCCCUACAAUCCUGUUUACUUUGCAUGACCUGCUGAAGGACUCAAUGGCUGGAGAUGAGGAUGAGGGAACCGCAGGUCACCCUGCUUCCAAAAAGCUGAAAUUGGAGCCUGAGAAGAAAACGGAGAGGUGCCAAAAGGUUGACUAGGAUGACAUACAGAAGAUGCGGGUUUGUCUCCUCAUUGUCUGAGGAGCAGCUUUAACUGCUAUGAGAUCUGCCUUCCCUAAAGCUGCUAUAAAGAAGCUGAUACAGUCCAUCACAGGAUCCAGUCUCUCAAAAUGUGGUUAUCGCAAUGUCCGGUAUUUGCUGGAGAAAUAGUGGAAGACGCUGUGGACGUGUGUGAGAAGAGAGGAGACAUGCCUCCCCUACAGCCCAAGCACAUGAGGGAGGCUAAAGAACAGAGCAGAUCCCCAAUAUAAAGCACAAGAACAUUCUCUUCCACUGAGCCACUCAUGCCUUGCUGAUUAUAGAAGGACAGAGCCAAGCAGGGAUGUAUUCCACCUUUCAGAUGGUGGCAACUUACACACCACUUUAUCAUGUUCAUUCUCUGUAUUCCAAUGUCCACUGGCAUGGAGAAUGUCUGGCUAUGAAGGCAAAUGCAGUAUACUGCUGUCAGGAAUAGUCCAACUCCAAAGUCAACCUCUGUGUUGAGGGUAUUUCUUGGAUAUACUUGUCAAUAAUAGAACGUUUGAUGAAAAUAUUAGAUCUACUUAGUGUUUGUAUAUGUGAUGCUUUAUUAUUUGAGCUGAAGCAUAAAGCUGAAAGAAUGUAUCCAAAAUUGGUCCCUUCUAGUGUCUCAUGGAAAAAAGUGUUUUAAUACAGAAUUUGGGUCAGUAACUGACAUAUUUCAAUAAAUCAAAUGUAUUAUCUUCUCAUUAAUGACAGGUAGUCUCGUAAAUUGAGUUUGUGUGUGUGCAUGUUAUAGGACACUAACCUCAAGCCUGCUCUCUGACCAAUAAAUGUGUAAAAACCAUACUGUGUAAAGAUCAGUCACCACCCUACACUAGGAGAAUAGACAGCACACAAAUAAAGGU
Oncorhynchus mykiss (rainbow trout) is the source of this 1248-nucleotide RNA transcript. It is a transcript of the gene named transcription initiation factor TFIID subunit 11-like, with no coding region annotated. The record is from RefSeq and is a predicted model, not a curated record. NCBI's taxonomy places the organism in Eukaryota, Metazoa, Chordata, Actinopteri, Salmoniformes, Salmonidae.